RNAcentral lists this ribosomal RNA (783 nucleotides) under Alnicola spectabilis. RNAcentral's name for it is "eukaryotic LSU rRNA". The stretch from base 233 to 386 matches the Rfam family "5.8S ribosomal RNA". Lineage: Eukaryota; Fungi; Basidiomycota; Agaricomycetes; Agaricales; Hymenogastraceae. The record is from RNAcentral.
CUUGGUGUGGUUGUUGCUGGCCCUCUCGGGGGCAUGUGCACACCCACCAUCCUCAUCUCUCCACCUGUGCACCUUUUGUAGACCUGGAUAGACUUUCCGAGGCAACUCGGUCGGGAAGAUUGCUGCGCUCUGUGAGCCAGCUUUCUUUGCAUGUCCAGGCCUAUGUUUUUCAUAUACCCCUGUAGAAUGUAACAGAAUGUAUCAUUGGGCCUUGUGCCUAUAAACCUUAUACAACUUUCAGCAACGGAUCUCUUGGCUCUCGCAUCGAUGAAGAACGCAGCGAAAUGCGAUAAGUAAUGUGAAUUGCAGAAUUCAGUGAAUCAUCGAAUCUUUGAACGCACCUUGCGCUCCUUGGUAUUCCGAGGAGCAUGCCUGUUUGAGUGUCAUUAAAUUCUCAACCUUAUUAGCUUUUGCUGAUAAUGGAUUGGAUGUGGGGGUUUCUUUUGCCGGCUUCUUCACAGAGGUCAGCUCCCCUAAAAUGCAUUAGCUGGUGCCCCGCGUGGACCAUCUAUUGGUGUGAUAAUUAUCUACGCCGUGGAUGUCUGCAAUCAUAUGGGUUUUGCACUGCUUCUAACCGUCUGUUCAUUCGGACAAUACAUGACAAUUUGACCUCAAAUCAGGUAGGACUACCCGCUGAACUUAAGCAUAUUAAUAAGCGGAGGAAAAGAAACUAACAAGGAUUCCCCUAGUAACUGCGAGUGAAGCGGGAAAAGCUCAAAUUUAAAAUCUGGCGGUCUCCGGCCGUCCGAGUUGUAAUCUAGAGAAGUGUUAUCCGCGCUGGAC